AACUUGAAACGCAGCUAGGAUCGUCUUGAACUUCUGAUCCUCUUGCCUGCACUUUCCAUGCACUGGAAUUAUAGGUAUCUACCAUCACGCACCAUUUAUGGAAAUUCUUAAAGAAUUUUAUUAUUUUCAAAUUCUUUUUUAUGUUCUAAUAUUGCCAAAGGCUUGUUUUUUUUUAAAGUUUAAACUACAGAAAAAUAAAGAAAUGUCUUUCUUCUCUAUACCUACCCCAUGUAGACAUUCAUAAUUGAGGGUAUAUUUUGUUCUACACACACUUUAAAAAAUGGGUGUAAUGAAUUUUAUGUAAAUAGUAGCACUCAAAGCAUGCAGCUUUGUUAACUUGGACUCUUAAGUAUACAUAUCUUAAAUAUUAUUACAUACCAAUAUACUUAGAAUUUUUCCAUAGUGAAUGCCAUAUUAUAGUUGACCACUUUCUUAUUGAUGGCCAUUUAGAUUAGCUUUUAUUUUUUAAAAAAAGUAAUUAUUUCAUUUCCAAAUGUGUGUGUGUGUGUGUGUGUGUGUGUGUGUGUGUGUUUCAGUGGAAAUUUUCCUUAAGUAACUAAAUAAGCAGCCAGUGACCAAGGCCUAGGGGAAAAAUGUAUUUUUUAAGUUUUUGUUUUUAUUUUGUUUUUAACCACAUGAAAGAUGACAAGAGAGUCUCCACUGGACCUAAUGUUUCCUUGAAAGUCUCUGCUAUAACCCUAAGAUACUAAACAACCAUCACCCAGUCUGUAUGCACAGAAGACUAAAGAAGAAGAGAGAGAGGAAGUUAUUGAAGAGAAUUGCCUGUCUGGGAAAAAUGGGGUGUGGCUUUCUGUCCCUCCAAAGCCAAGCGAGGGCGGUUCUCUCUGGAUGAAGAUGGGAUACUUCCACAAGGUGACCAGGGUUGUACUUCCAGCUGGCCCACCUGCUCAGACCAGGGCAUUGUGGUUCUGGCUUCAUCUUGCAUGGAUGUUUAGGAAAAGGUUGAAUCAUCAUCUCCUGUCUGUCAAUUUCAGACUGCUCAACAACAAGGUUGUUUAGUUGUUUUUUUCAUGCUAAACAUCUUUGUAUAUGUGCUCAGAUAGACAUGAUCAUUCUUAGAAUGGCGUGUCAAACGCUGUCCCACUGAACAUUUUGUUAAAUAUAGCCAAAACAGCGCCCCAAUUUACACCCUUUAUCAGAGCACAGACACAUUUAGGAGUGCUAUUUGCACCAAUAUUAAAGCUUCACACUUUAAAAUAAAAUGCAUGCAACAUCAAGAAAGCAAAAUGCUUUUCUGUCUCUUUCAUUUUGGAGCAGAGGUUGGCAAACACAGCCCUGUCCGGGUCAGGGUUAGCCUACCACCUAUGCUUUACCUUGUGGGAGAGGGAAAGACUUGGCAGACAUUGAAUUAAGAGCCAGGUUCCACCCCUUUCUCCUGGAUCACAGUGUACCCACUCACUUCUAUACCAUCGUAGAUGCUUUGUGUUCAGUGGCAGAGAUGAUGUGUGGCAUGUAAACUGAACACACUUAGAAUCUUUAUAGGCAAAAACAAUCAAAAUGAAACAAAACAACAACAAAACAAAACAACAACAACAACAAACAGAAACAAAACCCCUCCACUGUAUCCAGCUCUGGAGCAGGAAGACACAGGUCCUCCACCACACCCUUUGGGUGGGCGUGUAAAACUGCUGGGGCAGCAGUUGAAAAUGUGUUUGUGUAUUUUACUGUCGCUAUUAUUUCUGGUGCCAGAUCAUCCCACGUCUUAGUGUCCUCACACCCUUCAGCUCCAGGGAGAGGAAGCAAAGGCAUGAUGGUGUGGCGUGAAUCCAACCCCUGAGCCAGCUGCAGGUGGGGCUAGGAGGAGCCUGUGCACUGCUCUUCAAUGCCAUUGGUUGCUGAGCUGGUGAAGUAGACAGAGGCUGCAGGAGGCUAGCGUUAAAGCCCUCUGCGCCUACUUGAGCAUCCAACAGAGCCUGCUGUCUUAGGCAUUGACAACCCCAGUUCUGGAGGAAACAACCAUCUUCUCUUUUCCCCUUUCCUCCUAAAACCUCUAUUCUUCCUUAUCUAAACCCACUCCUAGUUGCUUUUAUUGCUGGGAAGAGUGGUAAGUGGCUUCUGGAUGAUCUUUACUUAGCAUACUCUAAGUCAACACUUCUUUUAGAAACACACCUAAAACAAAUAUAAGUCAUAUUUUCCAGAAGAAAAACCAUGGUAAAGAAAAUAAUAAUUUGAGGGAGCCAGAUGCAAUGGUCCUAGGAGGAGAUUGGGAGUCUCAGACCACUCUAAGCUACAAGGCUGUCUGAAAAAAAAAGUUUUUAUUGGUUCUAGGUACUGAACGCAGAGCUUUAUCUAUGCCAAGGACUUGCUAUGUGUCUUUUUUUCCCCUUUAAUUCUUCCCCUAUGUAAAUAUUUGUGUUUGUUCAGUAGCUCCUAAUCGCCACCCUGAGUGGUCCAAUGCUCUACACUGGAGUGUCUGUCCACCAGGAUCACUGACUUCAUGCAGUACAGGAGAAAGUGAGCAAGCUUCAAAUCAGAAACUAAAGGGAUGCCCAAAGGCUGCAUAUGAGGUCAGCAUAGGGUUCUAUAGGACUUGACCACCUCAGAGUUGAGGGUCACAUCUAGCAUCUGAGCUGGCCAUGUGAGCUGUAGUGAAUUAGCAGAGCCCACAGGCUAAGUAGGCAGAGGGGCCUGAAAAGAAACCAGGUCACAAAGGCCUCUCAAGACUGCUCCGGAGCCAGGACUCUGGCUAGGACUCUGUUCUUCAGGCAUCUUGAGUAAGAAAGGACUCCAGAGAGUAACAACAAGGUUGAAAACAACAAGCAUAUUCAGUUAGCAAUUUGGAGGAUAUAAGCAGUACAAUCUAAAUAAGAGAAUUCUUCAAGAAUAACCUUGAGCUAUGACUUGUCAUGUACUGGUUACUGUUUGAGUACGUUCUGUUGCUGUGAUAAGUACCAUGACCAAAAGCAACUUUCAGGCCACAGCCUAUCACUGAGGGAAGUCAAGGCAGAAAACUCAUGGCAGAAACCAUGGAGGAGCACUGCUUACUGGCUUGCUUCCUAGCCAACUUGCCUAGGGAUUGACACCUUCUACGGUGGGCUAGAUCCUCUCACAAUAAUCAUCAGUCAAGACACUCCCUCACAGAUGUGACCCCAGGGCACUCUGAUCUAGCCAAUACUUCAGUUGAGAUGCCUCAGAUGACACUGAAGCUGAAGCUAACUAGGACAAUCACUCUUUUCAUUGCUGUGACCAAAUACUUAACUGACUAUCAGCAAUUUAAGUAAGGAGAGGAGAGUAUAGUUUGGCUCGAAUUUUAAGGAGUGAAAGUCCAUCACGGUUAGGAAGGCACAGCAGCGGGAACACGAUGCAGCUGAUCACACUGAGUCUGUAGUCAUAAAGGCAUC
This 3362-nucleotide long non-coding RNA is filed under the name Mus musculus (house mouse). Its description in RNAcentral is "long non-coding RNA chr19:17154573-17157935". Lineage: Eukaryota; Metazoa; Chordata; Mammalia; Rodentia; Muridae. The record is from RNAcentral.